GGCCUCCCUCUUUGGGGCGAUUGAUCGUGGGGCCCCCCCAUCAAUCGCCCUGCAGAGGGUAGCC
RNAcentral lists this microRNA precursor (64 nucleotides) under Myotis brandtii (Brandt's bat). RNAcentral's name for it is "mir-9242 microRNA precursor family". It matches the Rfam family "mir-9242 microRNA precursor family". The record is from Rfam by way of RNAcentral. Lineage: Eukaryota; Metazoa; Chordata; Mammalia; Chiroptera; Vespertilionidae.